This 669-nucleotide ribosomal RNA is filed under the name Amolops granulosus (granular torrent frog). RNAcentral's name for it is "partial 12S ribosomal RNA". It matches the Rfam family "Bacterial small subunit ribosomal RNA", at positions 608 to 1533 of the family's 1533-position model. The record is from RNAcentral. Lineage: Eukaryota; Metazoa; Chordata; Amphibia; Anura; Ranidae.
CUCAAGUUGAUAACCACCGGCGUUAAGCGUGAUUAAAGCUUACAUAAGUUAGGGUUAAACCAAUACUUAGUAGUGAUAAGCUUGUUAUUGAGAAAACCAUAAACGAAAGUUACCCUAAUUAUAAUACUUGAAUACACGACAGCUGGGAAGACAAACUAGGAUUAGAUACCCUACUAUGCUCAGCCGUAAACAAUUAAUUUACACCAAUCAGCGCCAGGGAAUUACGAGCCAUGCUUAAAACCCAAAGGACUUGACGGUGUCCCACCCCCCUAGAGGAGCCUGUUCUAUAAUCGAUAAUCCCCGCUAUACCCCACCAUUCCUCGCCUCAGUCUGUAUACCUCCGUCGAAAGCCUACCCUGUGAACGUCCAGUAAGCCCAAUGACCCCCCCCCAACACGUCAGGUCAAGGUGCAGCUCACGGAAUGGAAAGUAAUGGGCUACAAUUUCUAACAUAGAACAAACGAAAGGCCAUGUGAAACCAUAGUCACGAAGGUGGAUCUAGCAGUAAAAAGAAAAUAGAGUGUUCUUUUUAACCCGGCUCUGGGACGCGUACACACCGCCCGUCACCCUCUUCGAUAGCUUUACUUCACGUUUAUAACCCUUUAUCCGCACCUUAGAAGAGGCAAGUCGUAACACGGUAAGUGUACUGGAAAGUGCACUUGGAUUACAA